This 497-nucleotide ribosomal RNA is filed under the name uncultured bacterium. RNAcentral describes it as "partial 16S ribosomal RNA". It matches the Rfam family "Bacterial small subunit ribosomal RNA", at positions 30 to 507 of the family's 1533-position model. The record is from RNAcentral.
AUUGAACGCUGGCGGCAGGCCUAACACAUGCAAGUCGAACGGUCGCACGAAACGGCUUGCUGCUUUACUGUCGCGUGGCGCACGGGAGUGACAUGUCUGGAACACAGCUCGAUGACGGGGGUUAACUACUGGAACCGGUACCUAUUACCGCAUAUCUUCUCAAGCGCAAAGUUCAGGACUGUAAGACCUCCUUCCUUCGGCUUAUAGCUGAAGCCGGUCGGGAUUAGCUAGUAGGUCGGGUAACGGCUUACCAAGGCCACGAUGCAUAGCCGAUCUGAGAGGGUGACCGGCCACACUGGAACUGAGACACGGUCCAGACUCCUACGGGAGGCAGCAGUGGGGAAUAUUGCACAAUGGGCGAAAGCCUGACGGAGCAAUGCCGCGUGUGUGAAGAAGGUCUUCGGGUCGUAAAAUACUGUCAGCAGGGAGGAACGGAGGAAAGUGUAUACCUUUGCACAUUGACGUUACCCGCAGAGGAAGCAACGGCUAACUCCGUG